UACGUAGGUGGCAAGCGUUGUCCGGAAUCAUUGGGCGUAAAGCGCGCGCAGGCGGUCCUUUAAGUCUGAUGUGAAAUCCCGUGGCUUAACCACGGGCGGUCAUUGGAAACUGGGGGACUUGAGUGCAGAAGAGAAGAGCGGAAUUCCACGUGUAGCGGUGAAAUGCGUAGAGAUGUGGAGGAACACCAGUGGCGAAGGCGGCUCUUUGGUCUGUAACUGACGCUGAGGCGCGAAAGCGUGGGGAGCGAACAGG
Molecule: ribosomal RNA, 253 nt
Filed under: uncultured bacterium
Lineage: Bacteria
Description: partial 16S ribosomal RNA
Rfam family: Bacterial small subunit ribosomal RNA
Source: RNAcentral